This 433-nucleotide ribosomal RNA is filed under the name uncultured bacterium. RNAcentral describes it as "partial 16S ribosomal RNA". It matches the Rfam family "Bacterial small subunit ribosomal RNA", at positions 29 to 507 of the family's 1533-position model. The record is from RNAcentral.
AACGAACGCUGGCGGCAGGCCUAACACAUGCAAGUCGAGCGAGGACUUCGGUUCUAGCGGCGGACGGGUGAGUAACGCGUGGGAAUGUGCCCUUCUCUACGGAAUAGCCCUGGGAAACUGGGAGUAAUGCCGUAUACGCCCUAUUGGGGAAAGAUUUAUCGGAGAAGGAUCAGCCCGCGUUGGAUUAGGUAGUUGGUGGGGUAAUGGCCUACCAAGCCGACGAUCCAUAGCUGGUUUGAGAGGAUGAUCAGCCACACUGGGACUGAGACACGGCCCAGACUCCUACGGGAGGCAGCAGUGGGGAAUCUUAGACAAUGGGGGCAACCCUGAUCGAGCCAUGCCGCGUGAGUGAUGAAGGCCUUAGGGUUGUAAAGCUCUUUCAGCUGGGAAGAUAAUGACGGUACCAGCAGAAGAAGCCCCGGCUAACUCCGUG